This 313-nucleotide unclassified non-coding RNA is filed under the name Hevea brasiliensis (rubber tree). The record is from RNAcentral. Lineage: Eukaryota; Viridiplantae; Streptophyta; Magnoliopsida; Malpighiales; Euphorbiaceae.
UGAGAGGUUACCGUCUAAACACUACUGCCAUUUCUCCUUGAUACAAAUUCAGGAUUCUUCUCAUUAUACAUUUUUCUUGUUGACUGUUCUCAACUCUAUCAUUUGGUCCGACCUGCCGUUGUGCAAAAUCAAUAACCAAAACCAGAAUGGAGGGACAUAUGGAAGGGCGUGUUGAUGAGGUAGAGGAGAACUUAUCAGGUCUACAAGACUGAUUGGCAGCCAUGAGGGUGGAACAAGAGCAACAGAUGAAUUCCUUUCAAAAAGAGCAAAACCAAUGUUUUGCUAGAGUUGGGAAUUUGCUUUCUUCCAUGGC